AGACUUUCUCAGUGUCGAAACCAAGGCAGACAGAUUUUUCCUCGGACCUCGCUUUGGAAAACGGCAACAGGAUUCUUUCACCAUAGGUGGCGCCGUCGGCGGGCAGCGGCUGCCGGAUGUGCUCAGCGACGGCUUCUCCUUCACCUGCGUCGCCGUCGAGCCGGACAACAUCUACCGGUGUCGCCCCGCGCAGCGGCAGGGGAGCAGCGGCAUGUGAUGGCGGCACCGCCUCCGGCACCCGGCCCCAGCGGUCACCGUCGACUGAAGACCAGCUGGGCCCGCAGAGGCCGCGUCCGCUGUGUGGGGCGCUGGCCAGCCGGGCCGCACCCGCUGAAGCCACACCUGCAUACUGUCACGUCUGAAGGCGCCCGGCUGACGGCCAAGGCCCGUUCCGGCUACUGACCACAGCCACCCCUCCGUCCCCACCCCCGCCCGAGCCGAGCCGACCUUGUCGGACUGUCAGAGGAGUCGGCUCUGCUCUGACAGAGGUCUGUUUUGCCGGGCCGCCUGCCGGGUGCGGAGCGGUGCCUAGCCUUCCGGACGCGUCCCUCACCGGCGGCUGAAGCGAUCUCCUGUGUGAGGAAGCAAGGGCGCGUUUGAAAUCCUAUGAAUCUGGGGGCUGGAAACGUCGAUUUGAUUUCAGUCGGGAAAAAUUGUACGAUGACGCCUUGUUUUGACGUUGUUCCUUUCUGUCGGGUUUAAAGGGGAUAUUGUCUGUUGGUUGAGUUAGCGACGUAGUGCGUUACAUUGUUCACUACCAUACCUGGGCUGGAGGGAUCUCAUUGCCCGUAGUUCGGGUCGUCCGGAAAUCAGCGCGUAAAUCGUGGGUGGCUCUCAAACUGGUGCAGACGAGCGCGCGUCGGAAGUUAGCGCUGAUGUCUGAAGGUACGUCAAAAGUGGCUCUCAAACUGCGGUUCAUAUGAGCGUUUAUCGUGCGGAGCUGUCAAAAUAAUAGAAAAUCCCACCCGAUUCGUGGGCUUGUUUCCACACCAUUUGAAACGCGCAUUUGCAUCCCUCCAGCUCUAGCGUUGGGACACAGACGAGGCGCAAGUGAUUUCGCUCGAGAUCACGUUGCAAGACCAUGUUGUGGGAUAUCAUCAAACAGAUGUCAAUGCCAAGUAACGCUGCAUGCCACCUGAGGCAUUAUAUUACAUUCAGUGACGGCAAAUAAAUUCUGCAAAGAGCUUGACAAUGUAUUCUACGAAAA
Pollicipes pollicipes is the source of this 1207-nucleotide long non-coding RNA. RefSeq lists it as uncharacterized. NCBI's taxonomy places the organism in Eukaryota, Metazoa, Arthropoda, Thecostraca, Pollicipedomorpha, Pollicipedidae. The transcript is spliced from 3 exons. The record is from RefSeq and is a predicted model, not a curated record.